This 626-nucleotide ribosomal RNA is filed under the name uncultured bacterium. RNAcentral's name for it is "bacterial SSU rRNA". It matches the Rfam family "Bacterial small subunit ribosomal RNA", at positions 49 to 689 of the family's 1533-position model. The record is from RNAcentral.
AUAGGCAUGCAGUCGAGCGAGAAGUGUAGCAAUACACGGAAAGCGGCGAAAGGGAUAGUAACACGUAGGUACCUACCCCCGGGCCUGGGAUAGCGGCGGGAAACUGCCAUUAAUACCAGAUAACGUCUCCGGACCAAAGGUGUGAUUCCGUCUGGGGAGGGGCCUGCGUCCUAUCAGCUAGUUGGUGAGGUAAUGGCUUACCAAGGCUUUGACGGGUAGCGGGUGUGAGAGCACGACCCGCAUCACUGGGACUGAGACACUGCCCAGACACCUACGGGUGGCUGCAGUCGAGAAUCUUCCGCAAUGGGCGAAAGCCUGACGGAGCGACGCCGCGUGCGGGAUGAAGGCCUUCGGAUUGUAAACCGCUGUCAGUGGGGAGGAAAUGUACGGGGGUUCUCCCUCGUAUUUGACCGAUCCGCAGAGGAAGCACAGGCUAAGUUCGUGCCAGCAGCCGCGGUAACACGAACUGUGCAAACGUUAUUCGGAAUCACUGGGCUUAAAGAGUUCGUAGGCGGCUUGUUAAGUCGGGUGUGAAAUCCCCUGUCUCAACCAGGGAAUUGCGCUCGAAACUGGCGAGCUUGAGUGAGAUAGAGGUGAGCGGAACUGAUGGUGGAGCGGUGAAAUGC